AUGAGAGUGGCGCACGGGUGCGUAACGCGUGAGCAACCUACCCAUAUCAGGGGGAUAGCCUCUCGAAGAGAGAUUAACACCGCAUAACAUCAUUAACCGGCAUCGGAUUAUGAUCAAAUAUUUAUAGGAUAUGGAUGGGCUCGCGUGACAUUAGCUAGUUGGAGGGGUAACGGCCCACCAAGGCUACGAUGUCUAGGGGCUCUGAGAGGAGAAUCCCCCACACUGGUACUGAGACACGGACCAGACUCCUACGGGAGGCAGCAGUAAGGAAUAUUGGUCAAUGGAGGGAACUCUGAACCAGCCAUGCCGCGUGCAGGAUGACUGCCCUAUGGGUUGUAAACUGCUUUUGUCAGGGAAUAAACCUUUCCACGUGUGGGAAGCUGAAUGUACCUGAAGAAUAAGGAUCGGCUAACUCCGUGCCAGCAGCCGCGGUAAUACGGAGGAUCCAAGCGUUAUCCGGAUUUAUUGGGUUUAAAGGGUGCGUAGGCGGUCCUAUAAGUCAGUGGUGAAAGACGGCAGCUUAACUGUCGCAGUGCCUUUGAUACUGUAGGACUUGAAUCUAUUUGAAGUGGGCGGAAUAAGACAAGUAGCGGUGAAAUGCAUAGAUAUGUCUUAGAACUCCGAUUGCGAAGGCAGCUCACUAAGUUAGUAUUGACGCUGAUGCACGAAAGCGUGGGGAUCAAACAGGAUUAGAUACCCUGGUAGUCCACGCCCUAAACGAUGAUAACUCGAUGUUUGCGAUACACAGUAAGCGUCCAAGCGAAAGCGUUAAGUUAUCCACCUGGGGAGUACGGUCGCAAGAUUGAAACUCAAAGGAA
This 818-nucleotide ribosomal RNA is filed under the name Sphingobacterium sp. RNAcentral's name for it is "bacterial SSU rRNA". It matches the Rfam family "Bacterial small subunit ribosomal RNA", at positions 89 to 909 of the family's 1533-position model. The record is from RNAcentral. Lineage: Bacteria; Pseudomonadati; Bacteroidota; Sphingobacteriia; Sphingobacteriales; Sphingobacteriaceae.